RNAcentral lists this ribosomal RNA (462 nucleotides) under uncultured bacterium. RNAcentral describes it as "partial 16S ribosomal RNA". It matches the Rfam family "Bacterial small subunit ribosomal RNA", at positions 28 to 507 of the family's 1533-position model. The record is from RNAcentral.
GACGAACGCUGGCGGCGUGCUUAACACAUGCAAGUCGAACGGUAAGGCCUUUCGGGGUACACGCGUGGGGAACGGGUGAGUAAGACGUGGGUGAGCGGCCCGGCAUGUCGGGAGAAGCAAGGGAAACUGGGUGUAAUACCGACUGGGACUGCGCGGUGCAUACCGUGUGGGGGAAAGAUUUAUCGCGGCAGGGUGGGCGCGCGCCUUAUAAGCUUGUUGGUGGGGUAUUGGCGUACCAAGGGGAGGACGGGGAGCCGGCCUGGGAGGGGGACCGGCCCCACUGGGCCUGAGACACGCCCCGGACUCCUCCGGGAGGCAGCGGGGGGAAUUAUGGCACAUGGGGCGCAAGCCGAAGGCAGCGCCGCCGGGUGGGGGAUGACGGCUUUGGGGUGUUAACCCCUUUCCAUCAGGGACGAAGCGUGAGUGACGGUACCUGCAGAAGAAGCACCGGCCAACUACGUG